RNAcentral lists this ribosomal RNA (498 nucleotides) under uncultured soil bacterium. RNAcentral describes it as "bacterial SSU rRNA". It matches the Rfam family "Bacterial small subunit ribosomal RNA", at positions 26 to 525 of the family's 1533-position model. The record is from RNAcentral.
AGGACGAACGCUGGCGGCGUGCCUAACACAUGCAAGUCGAACGAGGUCCAUGCAGUGGCAACACUGCGGAAGGCCUAGUGGCGAACGGGUGAGUAACACGUGAGGAACUUGCCCCGGAGACCGGGAUAACUCUCCGAAAGGAGAGCUAAUACCGGAUGUCCUCAUCGAGUCGCAUGGCUUGAUGAGGAAAUGGAUUCCGCUCCGGGAGAGCCUCGCGGCCUAUCAGCUAGUUGGUGGGGUAAACGGCCCACCAAGGCAUCGACGGGUAGCUGGUCUGAGAGGACGAUCGGCCACACUGGGACUGAGACACGGCCCAGACUCUACGGGAGGCAGCAGUGGGGAAUCUUGCGCAAAUGGGCGAAAAGCCUGACGCAGCAACGCCGCGUGCGGAUGACGGCCUUCGGUUGUAAACCGACUUCAGUGGGACGAACCGAAGAACGGUACCGACAACGAAAGAAGACCCGGACCAACCAACGUACGCCGAACGCCAACGCCGAC